AACCGCUCGGCGGGCCCGCAAAGGGGCCUCAGCAGCGCGGUGGCCCCGCAGAGCGUAGGGACCCAGGGUGGGGGUGCGAGGAGAGGCGCGCGCCCCAGCGGCCGUCGGGGGCGGAGGGGGAGGGGAGAGAGCCGGUCAAGGAGGGGCCCUCCCGCGCGCGCGUCCUCCGCGCGCCCCCACCCCGUGUGGCGCCGGGCUCUCCACGCCCAGACCCUGCUACUCCACUGGGGUCCUACCCCGGCCCCUAGUCCGGGGAUUGGCGCACCGCGGGAGGUAGGGAGCCGCCCCGCCCCCCUGUCAACAGAAGCCCCGCCCCAGGCUGCGGAAGCUCCGCCCCCUGUCAGGAGAAGCCCGGCCUUCCCAGGGCUCGAAAUGGCCCCGCCCUUUGCCGGCGAUCGCUCCGCCCACUGUCGACGGACGCCUAGUCUUCUCUCGGGUCAGCACAGACGGCAGUCCCGCCUUCCUUGCGCUCCGCCUUCCUAAUGUCACUGCUGGAUCGUGAGAGACUUCUUUCCGAGUCGAGGGCUUCACAUCCCGACGGCUUCCAGGGAACCAGCCCUGCAGCGGGGUCAGCGAGUGCCCGGGCUUUCGGGAACACCGCCCAGCGUCGCCGCCCCUCUCCACUCACUUUCCCUUUCCCCCGCACCGCCGUCAGAACGAGGAGGAACAGAACCAAAGCGGAGAGCGGCAACUCACCCUCCAGCCGCUCCACACCCGGGCCCUGGACGCUCGAGCGCUCCUGGGCCCCUUGACGUUCACUCCCCACCCCCAUCCCAGUUGCGGACCCUUUGUGCAGAGCUCUGCUGAGCCACAUUAAUCCUAAAAGCACAGCAGAGCUCCGCUGAGCCACAUUAAUCCUAAAAGAUGCAGUUGUUUCAAGUGGAAAUAUGAUUUUUUUUUUUUUUUUUUGAGACGGAGUCUCGUGCUGUCGCUCAGGCUGAAGUGCAAUGGCGCGAUCUCGGCUCACUGCAACCUCCGCUUCCCAGGUUCAAGCGUUUCUUCUGCCUCAGCCUCCCGAGUAGCUGGGAUUACAGGCGCCCAUCACCUGACGCCGGGCUAAUUUUUGUAUUUUUAGUAGAGACGGUUUCCCCAUGUUGGCCAGGCUGGUCUCGAACUCCUGACCUCAAGUGAUCCGCCUGCCUCGGCCCCCCAAAGUGCUGGGAUUACAGGAGUGAGAUACCGCGCCUGCCCGUGGAAUCUGUUGAAAUCAGUGUUCUACAACGUUCUUUUUAUUUAUAGGUUUCAUCUUAGAAUCCUAAAACUUGUGUAGGAUGAGGCUUAAUCUUAUAAGCAAAGGUAUUCAACCCUGCCACAUUCCACGCCCUGUAUUUACAACAAAAAAUAUAACACUGCUUUACUCCUCUGAAAUUAAAUUCCUAAUGCAUACUAUCUCUACAAAUGAUUUCGAGAAACCAAUGUAAUGUUCUAAUAAAGAUG
Molecule: long non-coding RNA, 1437 nt
Filed under: Piliocolobus tephrosceles (Ugandan red Colobus)
Lineage: Eukaryota; Metazoa; Chordata; Mammalia; Primates; Cercopithecidae
Description: lncRNA (ENSPTEG00000032466.1)
Source: RNAcentral